AGAACGAACGCUGGCGGCAGGCUUAACACAUGCAAGUCGAACGGUUGUAGCAAUACAGCAGUGGCAGACGGGUGAGUAACACGUGGGAACCUUCCUAGGGGUACGGAACAACUCAGGGAAACUUGAGCUAAUACCGUAUACGUCCGUAAGGAGAAAGAUUCAUCGCCCCUAGACGGGCCCGCGUAGGAUUAGGUAGUUGGUGAGGUAACGGCUCACCAAGCCUACGAUCCUUAGCUGAUCUGAGAGGAUGAUCAGCCACACUGGGACUGAGACACGGCCCAGACUCCUACGGGAGGCAGCAGUGGGGAAUCUUGGACAAGUGGGCGCAAGCCUGAUCCAGCCAUGCCGCGUGAGUGAAGAAGGCCGUUUCGGGUUGUAAAGUCUACUUUUACCAGGGACGAUAAUGACGGUACCUGGAGAAUAACGCCCGGACAAACUUCGCG
RNAcentral lists this ribosomal RNA (443 nucleotides) under uncultured soil bacterium. Its description in RNAcentral is "bacterial SSU rRNA". It matches the Rfam family "Bacterial small subunit ribosomal RNA", at positions 26 to 507 of the family's 1533-position model. The record is from RNAcentral.